CUGGUUUUCCACCCCCCCUUAGGCCCCCCCUCCGCCCAAUAAGGACAUAAACUUCAACCCCUUAGUCCAGCCUGUCCCUUUAGGACGCUGCACUGUCCGUCCUUCUCUACUAUUUCCCCUUCCAGGCUCUCCUUCCUUCCUCUUUUGCCUUCCUCUGCCCUUCUCUCCUCUUUUCUCUGCUUUGCUUCUCUCCUUCUUUUUCCCUUCACCUGCCGCGAGUACCUCUUCCCCUCUCCCUCCUCCAGCAGCUAUCUCGCCCAGUCCACCUUAACCCAAACCCCACCCUCUACCCCCAUCCAACCCGAGGGGGAUGCCCCGCCCCCGCCCCUUAGCUCCACCGCCCAGCUCGUCUAUUCGUUAGGAUGUCCGUCAAUCGAAAUCUCAGUCCCGCCCCACACUUGGCCCUUGGGGAGAGGGGCGGGGCUUCUGGACUGGAAUGGUACAGGGAGAAGGGGGGUUGGGGACCUUGUGUCUGCCGCGGCCUGGGCACCAGCCCCUCCCCCAUCCCCCCAGUGUUCCCAUCCCGUCCCAAAGGGCUCCCCAAAGAGUGGGACAGCAAGAGAGGGAGUGGCUUGUGAAGGAAUUAAUGGAAGAGGGGGAAUUGAUUGGGUGCAGAAUCAGGGACCUAGUGUAGGGCGAGAGAAGGGUGGUAAACCAGAGCAGGGGAAAUAAUCAGGUCACAGCAGAAGCCCAGCAGAAGGAGGGAGGGGGGAGAGGGUGGAGUCACCCAAGGCCUGAGAUCCUUGUCCUUUAUCCUUCCCCCCCCCCCCCCAUCCCUCCUGGACUGGAGGAAAGGGGUCUGGACUUGGAGACUUUGUUAUAUGUCCCUCCCACACGCGGGACGGUGCCCCACGGGGUGGGGACCUACGCCUAGGUUAAGCCUGAAGGCAGAAUUCGGCCUCUGAGCUUCAGCCCUGUGCCCGGCUGCGGCCUUGGCACAGCCACUGGGGAGGGGCUGGGUUCAUGAAAAGGGGCGGAGGAAUGGGGAUGGCACGUUGCUUCUUCUCCCCGCCCCUCCUCUUCAAGCUAGGGCGCCUUGAAUUCCUUUCACCUUUCGAUUAUUGGGGAAACUGAGGCCACUAAGAAGGGAUACCCUGGCCUGAACGCGACCCGGAGGUUACAGCUCUGAGGGAGGAAUCUAGACUCGGGGGUUCCCCCCCCCCAAGCAGGUGGCUUCGCGGGACACUAGCUGAACCUGUUGGACCACAAUGGGCGGCGACGCGGGGGCCCAGUCCCUCACCCGGGCUGACCUGGGAUCCCCUGGCUGGGGGAGGGGCGGAGCUCGGGUCCGGGCCCCUCCCUCAUCUACACUCCCUCCCCAGCCGGCCGUGACUCAGCCUCGGGGCCGCUGCCCUGCGCCCCAGCCAGGGGCGGAAAGUGUGAGGCGCCCCAGAGGGCCCAGGCCAAGGCAAACAGCCCCCCACCCCCAGACAUUAUCUCACUGGAGAAUUAGGGGGGUGAGGUUCUGGGGCAUUUAAGGGGUGUGUGUGUGUGUGUGUGUGUGUGUGUGUGUAUGUGUAUGUGUAUGUGUGUGAAGGGGUGGGAAGACUUAUUCGGGAGAUCCGCUCCGGGUUUUCAAUCUGUUCCCAUUCGUUCUCCGCACCCCCCACCCCCCUUCCAGUCCCCCGGCCUCAGUCCCUCGGUCGAUGGUCAGAGACUUUCUCCGGGUUUUCUUCCUGGCCUCGGCGGACAGAGUCCGGUUUGUAAGAGUUUGGAAGGAAUUGGAUCCAGGCCGGGGUUUCUUCCUUUCUUCCCUACCUCCUGGGACAGACUGGCCUGGGGAAGGGCCGGUGCCAGGCGAGAGGGGGCAGUGCCAGGGGCACAUUCGAAAUCAAGAAGAGGCUAUGCCAGGGGUAGAGUUGAAAGGAAUCAGUAGAGAGAGGGCACCCAUUAGGCGGGAGGGAAUUGGUAGGGAGAGCCAAAGACAAAUUGGCAUAAGAAAUAACGAUAAUGUUAGGAAUAAUAACUAUUAUUUAGAUAGCACUGAAAUCUACAAAGCGCCUUACAAACAUUUCAUUUGAGCCUCACAACAACCCUGUGAGGUAGGCAUUACGUGUAUUAGUAUUCCCAUUUUACAGAUGAAACAAUUUCACUUUAUUUGACUUGCCAAGGUCACACUACUAAGGGGCAGGAAAGGUUGCCACGACCUCCUAGGUUGUGAAGGAGGUCAGGUGCCAAACUGAAAGAGUCCGGCCUCUGCUAAUAGUUCCCCCACAAAGCUGGGGUAUGGGCUGGGGUGGCAUCUUGGUACCUUAAGCAAAUGCAAGGAAUUUGGAUUCUUUGUUUCCCUAAGAAUCGAAUUAUUCCUGUUCUUUUACUUAGCCUAGGUGGAUGGCGGAGGGAAGGCAGCCUAAAGCAUCCUUUUCUGGCUAUCUUAAACAAAACCGUUUCAUUGGAAGUAAAGAAAUGCAGACUUCUUGGCCCUGCUGUUCCCCUGACCCCACUCUGGAACACUGGCCCUCUUAGGCUACCUCCUGCCACCUUGGCCUGUCUGCCUGGCUUGGUCUGGGCUUGGGUGAUGGGUGUGAUGAGAGAGGCCUGCAGGUGCCUCCCGAGGGAAGUGGCAGAGAAACUCCCGACUCCCCAGGCUUGAGCUCAAUCCUCCCCUCUCCCAUUCCCCUUUCUACACCAAGACGGUAAACUACCCACUUGGCUAGGCGAACCACCUAGGGAGGGAGGAGAAGGUUGGGUGGGGCAUUCGAGUAAGUAAACCGAAAAUAAGGAUAUUUACCCAGAGAAUGGAGUUGGCAGUGGGAGUUGGCACCUCAUCUUCUGGUAUGGAAGUAAAGAUAGGAGAAGGGGUAGCCAGGAAGGCACAUGGUUGGAGAGUAAACGCUCUGAUAAUUAGGGUGGGCAAAGGAGGAAUUCUGUAGUCCUGAAGGUCUGGAGGAACUGCCUUUUGGGAUAAGGGAGCCAACCACAACUCUAGCAGGGAAGCUGAGACCCCAAGUGAGUAUACCUGCUGUGCCCACCUUCUAACUUCUGGCCCCCCACCGCUUCCACCGCUUCCCUCGAAGUUUCAGCCGCCCAGGAAACCACUGGGGGCGCCCAGACCGCAGCCCCCUCAGCCGCCGCCGCCCCUCCCCCUCCCCCCAGCGCUCCCACCGCGACCGCCCAACCCACCAACCCACCUGAAGAGGCCGCGGCUGCCUGGGGGGGCACCCUCCCCUUCCCUCAGUCUCUCCCCACUAGCAUCUGCGGGCGGCUCUAUUUAUAACUCCGGUGCCUAUUCCGGGCUUCGGGUGCAAAGCCGUCUACUCCAACGUUCUAAUCUCCGCUGGGAUCUUUGCGCCCCCCAGGGCCCAGGCAGAAAGGAAAUGAUUCAGAUGCAACUGAGAUGCAAAUAUAGGCAGAAAAAACAAACAAACAAACAAAAAACUGGUGCUGGUGGUCCACAGCUCUUUAGUGACCCCUUCCCGACUCACAAUUAGGAAGACACUGGA
Monodelphis domestica (gray short-tailed opossum) is the source of this 3443-nucleotide non-coding RNA. Lineage: Eukaryota; Metazoa; Chordata; Mammalia; Didelphimorphia; Didelphidae. The record is from RefSeq and is a predicted model, not a curated record.